AUAAAACAAUACCCAGAAGUGAGUGAUUUCCCAAACUGCAGGGCAUGAGCAGCAGCGAGCUGUCUCGCAGACAGGCCGUCUCUGAGUGCCCCAGCAGGGACAGGAUGGUAUGAAUGAUGCAUGGCUUUACCACUUCCCAAAGCGCUGUGCUAUAUGAGGUGGCUGAGUAACUGAACAGACACAUAGUGCAUGUGAAACAGAAUCAGAGAGCAGAUACUGAAAUGUGCACCUACUCUGAUACUGUGCACAGAAGCACAGGUAUAGUUUCAGAAAACAAAAGGGAGAAGCGGUUUUACACACAGCUACGUGCAUGUGUGUGUACACAUCCAUAAGGUGGGGGUAUGAGUGGCAGUACGCACAAAGACACAUGCACAGACGUCAGUGUCAGCUGUAUGGGUGUGUACCAAACCAUAAGCUUAACCACAGAAUACACACUUUAAAUACCCUUUUAUGCCUGCCAUACAGUCAGUCCAACUUUAUUUCACUCAAUGACACCAUCAUGGGAUGCUCAGGGCUGCUGAUUUUGGGUCUUGUCCUAAAUGUUGCUCACUGCUUGGAAAGUCUGGAUGGAGAGGUGGAGAUCACACACAACAUCACAGCAGUCCUGGGAGAGGAUGUGUACCUGCCCUGUAGAUAUCUGGGCAAGAGUGAGAUUGAGAGUGCCAAGUGGAGACGCCAGAUUAACUCUAAGCGUAAAUCUGCGGGACUGGCAGGGUUUGAUAAUGGCCUGCCAUUUAACCGCACUGGCUUCUCAGCCCCAGACUCUAUCACCAACCUCACAGUUAAGAUGGAUGUGUCCAGUGUGGAUGUAGAGGGAGAAUACAUAUGUGAGUUUGAAUCAACGGCUGAUUAUAAUUCUGACAGCGUAUUCCUCACGGUAGUAGCUCGGCCUGAUAUCCAGAUCCAGGUGAAUGCAGAGACCAUAAACGGCUCUCACUACCAGUCGGUGCAGUGCUCUGCCGUCGCCGGCAGGCCUCCGCCUCAGAUCAGCUGGCUAGUCAACGGCCUUCCUCCUUCAGAUUACCCUUUUACUGUGAACGUGACUGAUACUGUUCACUCAAACGGCACCUCCACCCUGAGCAGUAUCCUCCACUUCCCCACCCACCUGCUGGACGAGGACAGCGUGACCUGUGUGAUCAAACACCCGACCCUCCCAAACCCCAAACUCACCACAGUCAGGGUGGAAACGUACACGAGGCCAAAUGUGACCAUUAAAGCAGAGAUGAUACAACAAGGAGGAAGUGAGUUCUGGGUGGUCUCUUGCAUUUCGUCUGGAGGGAGACCUGCCACUGACAUGUCCUUGGCUUUGAACACCGAUGAAGAGCUGCAGACAGAGAACAACACAGACUCAGACAUACAAACAAGCUCAGUCUUCCUCCCUGCAUUAGUUUAUGAGGGGCACAAUGUCACCUGUGUGUUUGACCACCCCAAAUUUACACAGAAAGUGUCACAAGUCAUCACACUGCCGUCUUUUUAUUUGUCAGGAGGUCAGCUGUUGAACUCAGAGGAGGGAAGCAACAGUGGUGACUUCCAAGAUUCUGAAUAUUCAGAGCUGCAGGAAGGACAGACUGACUCCUUCAUCAGACUGCCAAUCACUGGGAAUGUGCCACGUUACAAUGUUACCUGCAAAACAGAUGAUGGACCCUUGCCUGAGGGUGUGGAGCUGGUUGGCAGCAGCCUCAAAGUUCAGGGUCCUGUGGGCCAUCGGCAUGCUGGCCUGUAUGAAUGUUUGGUCUCGUAUCACCAUCUCCAAGCAACGCUGAGGUUUAAUGUCACAGUUAAACCUCAAGUUAUACAGCCUGUUCCUCCCACAAUACGAGUUGAUUCGCAGACCAAAGAUGGACGCAGGGUGAUUGAGUGCUCAGCAGCUGAUGCUGUUCCUGCAGCCAACAUGUCCUGGCUUCUACCAGAGGGUGUGUCUGGAGUCUCUUGGUUCAAUUUCACUUCUCAUAAUGGAAGCCACUCUGUCAAGGGAGUUUUAUUCCUCCCUGCCUGCUCGCCUUGGAAGCUCACUGCAGAGUGUGUGAUAAAUCACCCUGCAUUUGAGGAGCCAGAGAACAGGAGCGUAACACUCCCUCGUUGCGCUCCCCCAAAUAUUACCAUCAACUCCAGCACUGAGUGGAAAGACGGUCACAAGUACACAAAGGUGGACUGCUCUGUGGAAAGUGUUGCCCCCGCAGCAACCAUAACCUGGCACGUUGAAAACAAUGACAACAGCAUCAGUUAUGUGUCAGAGACUCCAGAAGAUCGGGCUGAUGGACUGGUAUCGGCCCAUAGUUCUGUGCACAUCUUGUCUUCUUUGUAUUCUGGUCAGAAUUUGACCUGCAUGGUGGAGCAUCCGAGCCUGGAGGCACCAGAAGAAAGAACAAUACACAUUCUUGUGCACGAAGCCCCUCUGCUGAGUGUGUCUGUGGAAAGACAGCACGGCUCUACCCUCUGGCUGGCAGUGUGCGAAUGCAGAGGGGAGGGUGUCGGGCGGAACCUCGCCUGGGUUCUUCCCGAAAAUGCUAAAAGCCAAACAUCCCUGCAGUCAGAGUAUGAAGGCAAAGUCCUGAAAGCCAGGCUGACCUAUCAGUUUCCUCUGGCCCUUCAUGAGGGGCAGGACCUCACCUGUAUCUAUCAUUUCGAACAUGGAGCAACCGAGAAGAAGAAGAUUCACAUCCCCAGAUACUACAUCUCCGCUGUGAGAGUCCUAAACCACACAACUCCUCUGCAAAGCCGCUACGGUGGUGAACCCAUCAAACACAGGCUGGCUCUCCAGGAAAAUCAUCACAACCAGAAAAUACUGCUCCGAGUCGAAGGCAACAUGCCAGAGUACAACCUCAACUGUAGAAGGAGUGAUGGCUCAUUUGUCCAAAUGGAAGGGCUUGCAAUGGUCUUCCAGUCAGCACUCACAGAGCUGGACGAAGGCCUGUACACCUGCCAGGCAUCCUUCUAUCACCACACGGCCACAGUCAACAUUCAAGUGGAGGUCAUGAGCGAGGACAAAUUGUUUGCACUGGUGACCAUGAUCUGCAUAUCCUCGGCCUCGGCUAUUAUGCUUAUGCUCGUCGUCACUCUCUGGGUGUGCUGCAUAGUCAGUAACAAGACAAAAUAUAAGAAGCCGGAGUCUCUCUCGGCCUUGACAACUCUGAUGCAGGAGCCUGGCUCUCCUGAGGUGAAGAAGCCACCGGUGACAGAAAAAGACGGCCAGCAAUACACUCAGCUGGUCAGUUACUCCAUAGUCAUUGAUGUCAAGAGCACAGUGUGAAGACAAAAGGUGCUUUGAUUUCUCAUUCAGCUUCAAAUUGUGCACAAUUAGAUAUGAAGGCUUACUGGAACUG
This is a long non-coding RNA of Dicentrarchus labrax (European seabass), 3323 nucleotides long. The record is from Ensembl. NCBI's taxonomy places the organism in Eukaryota, Metazoa, Chordata, Actinopteri, Moronidae.